CAAAGGAAAUGCAGGAGGAGGCUGCCAGCACACCCACGCCCCUUGCGACGCGUUCUCCAUGGCAGCAGCCAAAGCUGCAGAGAAGUGGGCAUGACCGGAACUAAGUGGGCUUGCAGAAUCACAGGCCCCUCAGAGAUUUGCAGGGCGGACAGCAAAGAAAAGGAGGCCAGAGGCCUGUGGCAGCCUGUCCCCAAGCCACACAGCCAGGAGAUGGCAGGGCUGGGACCAGCGGGACAGCCAAGGAGAUGGAAAGAUCAGAUGACAAUGAAAAUAUUCACAGCCAGCCUGGCUGGGGCCUGGGCAGUCAGAACAAACACCCCUGGAGGCAUUGGGCCCCAGCAGGUGCCCUCGGGCGACAUGUGGAGAGCUCUUUCUGGUGUUGGAAAAACACAGUGGAGCCGUUCAUAAUGCUGGUGUUAAGGGGCAGAAGAAAUGCCCCCUUGGUGACAGACAUCCCCAUGUCCAGGCUCCAGUGCAACCUGGGACUCUGAGCCGGCACAUGACAUCCAUGAGGAUAAGCUCCGUGCAAGCCAGGACUUCCCCCGCACAGGACUCUCCCCUGGAGCAGCCACAGCAAAGCACCUAGAACAUGUGGCUGUAACAGCAAGUGGGUUUCCAGAUCCCGGAUCUCCUCCACCUGCUUCAUCUGAUUUGAAUCACCCAACAGCACUGUACACAGGGGAUUACACGCCAUUCCCAUUUCAGGGAGUGAAACUGAAGCAAUGCUCUUCUGUAGCUCAGAGGCUUUGCAAAUGCUGUUCCUCCUGCUCAGAUUACUUUUCAAUGUGACCAUCAUAAAGUGGGCCAGAGUGAAGCAUGUAAAGCACUUAGAAGCCCUGAGCCACCGUUUAAGAAGCCUGGCUGCCCUGAAGCCACCGCCGGGAGAGAGAAGCCUGAGACGCCCCGGCACCCCGCAGCCCAGCCAUUUGAGACAUUCCAGCCCAGAUGCCCGGAGAAAAAGGCUUUCAGAUGAGCCCAGGCCCAGCCACCAUCUCAUGCAGCUGGUGAGAGAUCCUGAUUGAGACCCACAAUGCUGACCCCAGGCAAGACCUGGAUUGGGGAGCCACUGUUUGGGGGUAUUUUGUUACACAGCAAUAGCUGAGCCCCCCUUGCACUCUAGGGCCCUUGAGGAGAGGGUGACCAAAGCUGACAAAUUGCCGUAAAGAGACCAUGCCCCAGCUGAGCCGCCCUCAGCAAGAGCCUUGUGGGGACUAUGACUUCUGGUUUCAGCAGCAUUUCAGGAAACGCCGGUGACAAGGCUUUGGGAAGGGUGAUGACAGCGAGGGCAGGGAUGCUUGACUCUCCAGACAGUGACGAUUCAGGCGGGAAACAGCAGCUACUUUGCUACAGGGAUCCACGAAAGUGUCCAAGGAGGAGACGAGGCCGUGGCUGAGUGCACAGUGGGCACCCGGUGGAGGGGGGUUCACGUGCAUUGUCACUUCUGCUCUCCCACCGCCCUGGGAGUCAGGCACGAUUAGAACUCCAUCUCUGGAGAGGAGGCUGGGAGAUGUAGAAUAACUCAUCCAGGACACAGCCUGUAACUCCUGGAGCUUGGAUUUGAACAAGGUUGGUCAUUCUGCUUUCCUUAUCGAUAACAAAAUGGAUGGGAAGAAGGUGGGGGGAGGGGCCACACUAUUGGACCUCUGCCCCCAAAGGGUUCAAUAGAGCUGUGCAAAUUUAACAUCCAGACACUCUGUCAAAGAUGCCGGGGAAACUCUCCUAGGGGAGUUAGUGAUGUGAAGUUCAAUGGACGUAAGGGCUCUUACCCUCAGAGGGCAGGUCAGCCAGGCCUGGGUUUGACCCCUGCUCUUCCCUCGCCAACCGUACACCUCAGGCAAGCUAGCUCUUGUAAUAACGUGUCCUCACAUGGAAAACUGGCACAGUCCACAUUCCAGAGGGUGGGGGUCCCAUCGGACAAUAUGGAUCUACCGAAGCCAGCAUGGGAUGGAAACUUCCUGAAUAGCAGCUGCUUGGACCAAUGUGAUCAUGUCAUAUCAUGAUCAUGUCACGUCACCCGAGGACUGCACUCCUGGGCUCCCCUCCAUGGCAGGAUGGGAAGCCAGGUGUGAAAGUGCUACCUAGGAACACUGGGAAGCUCCCUGGGUGACCUGGGCUCCACCUGACCUGGCCGUGGUCCCCUUCCCUCCCCUCCGGAGGGAACGAGGGGCUUCCCUAACCAACAACGUCAGCCCCUUCCUCUUCUUUCUUGGCUUCUCCAUGACCAAGGCCAAUGUCAGAAGAUCUUCCCAGGACCUGUCAGCCACAGAGUGCGAUUGUGAAAAGGGGUCUGUCUAUGCUGGGUGCGGAACCCUGGUCCUGUCUGUCUAUGCUGGGUGCGGAACCCUGGUCCUGUCUGUCUAUGCUGGGUGCGGAACCCUGGUCCUGUCUGUCUAUGCUGGGUGUGGAACCCUGGUCUUGUCUGUCUAUACUGCGUGCGGAACCCUGGUCCGAGGAUGCCCA
Molecule: long non-coding RNA, 2460 nt
Filed under: Pan paniscus (pygmy chimpanzee)
Lineage: Eukaryota; Metazoa; Chordata; Mammalia; Primates; Hominidae
Description: lncRNA (ENSPPAG00000044826.1)
Source: RNAcentral